GAUGAAGAACGUAGCGAAAUGAGAUAAGUAGUGUGAAUUGCAGAAUUCAGUGAAUCAUCGAAUCUUUGAACGCACAUUGCGCCCUUUGGUAUUCCAAAGGGCAUGCCUGUUCGAGCGUCAUUUGUACCCUCAAGCUUUGCUUGGUGUUGGGCGUCUUGUCUCUAGCUUUGCUGGAGACUCGCCUUAAAGUAAUUGGCAGCCGGCCUACUGGUUUCGGAGCGCAGCACAAGUCGCACUCUCUAUCAGCAAAGGUCUAGCAUCCAUUAAGCCUUUUUUUCAACUUUUGACCUCGGAUCAGGUAGGGAUACCCGCUGAACUUAAGCAUAUCAAUAAGCGGAGGA
Molecule: unclassified non-coding RNA, 341 nt
Filed under: soil metagenome
Description: partial contains 5.8S ribosomal RNA, internal transcribed spacer 2, and large subunit ribosomal RNA
Rfam family: 5.8S ribosomal RNA (bases 1-120)
Source: RNAcentral